UGGGGUGCUCGAGUGGCGAACGGGUGAGUAACACGUGAGUAACCUGCCCUUGACUUUGGGAUAACUUCAGGAAACUGGGGCUAAUACCGGAUAGGAGCUCCUGCUGCAUGGUGGGGGUUGGAAAGUUUCGGCGGUUGGGGAUGGACUCGCGGCUUAUCAGCUUGUUGGUGGGGUAGUGGCUUACCAAGGCUUUGACGGGUAGCCGGCCUGAGAGGGUGACCGGCCACAUUGGGACUGAGAUACGGCCCAG
RNAcentral lists this ribosomal RNA (250 nucleotides) under uncultured Actinomycetales bacterium. RNAcentral's name for it is "partial 16S ribosomal RNA". It matches the Rfam family "Bacterial small subunit ribosomal RNA", at positions 83 to 334 of the family's 1533-position model. The record is from RNAcentral. Lineage: Bacteria; Bacillati; Actinomycetota; Actinomycetes; Actinomycetales.